GGCCUGCGCGGAAGAUGUAACGGGGCUAAAACUAUGUGCCGAAGCUGCGGAUUUGACAUUAGUCAAGUGGUAGGGGAGCGUUCUGUAAGCCGAUGAAGGUGUAUUGAGAAGUAUGCUGGAGGUAUCAGAAGUGCGAAUGCUGACGUGAGUAACGACAAAACGGGUGAAAAACCCGUUCGCCGAAAGACCAAGGGUUCCAGUCCAACGUUAAUCGGGGCUGGGUGAGUCGACCCCUAAGGCGAGGCCGAAAGGCGUAGUCGAUGGGAAAAUGGUUAAUAUUCCAUUACUUCUGUGUAAUGCGAUGAGAGGACGGAGAAGGCUAAAUCAGCCUGGCGUUGGUUGUCCAGGUGAAAGGAUGUAGGCAUGUAUCUUAGGCAAAUCCGGGGUACUCUAUGCUGAGAUCUGAUAGCAAGCUGUACUUGUACAGCGAAGUGGUUGAUGCCAUGCUUCCAGGAAAAGUCUCUAAGCUUCAGUUACACAGGAAUCGUACCCGAAACCGACACAGGUGGUCAGGUCGAGUAGACCAAGGCGCUUGAGAGAACUCUGCUGAAGGAACUAGGCAAAAUGGUACCGUAACUUCGGGAGAAGGUACGCUGUUGUUGGUGAUGGAACUCGCUUCCUGAGCUGACGACAGCCGCAGAAACCAGGCCGCUGCAACUGUUUAUUAAAAACAUAGCACUCUGCAAACACGAAAGUGGACGUAUAGGGUGUGAUGCCUGCCCGGUGCUGGAAGGUUAAUUGAUGGGGUUAGCGUAAGCGAAGCUCUUGAUCGAAGCCCCAGUAAACGGCGGCCGUAACUAUAACGGUCCUAAGGUAGCGAAAUUCCUUGUCGGGUAAGUUCCGACCUGCACGAAUGGCAUAAUGAUGGCGGCGCUGUCUCCAGCAGAGGCUCAGUGAAAUCGAAAUCGCUGUGAAGAUGCAGUGUACCCGCGGCUAGACGGAAAGACCCCGUGAACCUUUACUGCAGCUUGACACUGAACUUUGACCUUACUUGUGUAGGAUAGGUGGGAGGCUUUGAAGCUGGAACGCUAGUUCCAGUGGAGCCGUCCUUGAAAUACCACCCUGGUAAUGUUGAGGUUCUAACUCUGUCCCGUGAUCCGGGACGAGGACCGUGUCUGGUGGGUAGUUUGACUGGGGCGGUCUCCUCCUAAAGAGUAACGGAGGAGUACGAAGGUGCGCUCAGCGUGGUCGGAAAUCACGCGUAGAGUAUAAAGGCAAAAGCGCGCUUAACUGCGAGACCCACAAGUCGAGCAGGUACGAAAGUAGGUCUUAGUGAUCCGGUGGUUCUGUAUGGAAGGGCCAUCGCUCAACGGAUAAAAGGUACUCUGGGGAUAACAGGCUGAUACCGCCCAAGAGUUCAUAUCGACGGCGGUGUUUGGCACCUCGAUGUCGGCUCAUCUCAUCCUGGGGCUGAAGCAGGUCCCAAGGGUAUGGCUGUUCGCCAUUUAAAGAGGUACGCGAGCUGGGUUUAGAACGUCGUGAGACAGUUCGGUCCCUAUCUACCGUGGGCGCUGGAAAUUUGAGAGGAUCUGCUCCUAGUACGAGAGGACCAGAGUGGACGAACCUCUGGUGUACCGGUUGUGACGCCAGUCGCAUCGCCGGGUAGCUAUGUUCGGAAGGG
RNAcentral lists this ribosomal RNA (1621 nucleotides) under Acinetobacter baumannii. RNAcentral describes it as "bacterial LSU rRNA". It matches the Rfam family "Bacterial large subunit ribosomal RNA", at positions 1156 to 2763 of the family's 2925-position model. The record is from RNAcentral. Lineage: Bacteria; Pseudomonadati; Pseudomonadota; Gammaproteobacteria; Moraxellales; Moraxellaceae.